AUUGUUGCAUGCAUAUUAGGGUAAAGUAAUGAUAAGAAUGUGAUGAUAGCAUGAUUGUGAGUACAACUUGCUUAUAAUGAUGGUAGAGAGCCAAAUAAAUGUCAAAACCCUAAGUGUAUGCAUUAGAGAAAAGUGAGCACCCAAAGUGAGCAAAAAAACAGAGUGACGCUAUGACAUAGAUCGAGUGGCAUUUGAAAAUGUAAAGUAAAGAGACACUAGAGUUAGUGUAAUGCAAAGAACUAAUGUGAUGUAAAGAAUGAUGAAAAUGACAAUGUGUAAUGUUAAAAUAAAGUGGGGCAAUAAGAACAAGAAAUGUGUGAACAAGAUGCUAGAGUUAGCAAGAGUAAAGAAAAGUAAAGAGCAACGAUUUGCAUGAGUUUGCAACAUAAAGUGAUGUAAUGAACACUAGAGCUAGUGUAAAGUCAAGAUUGAACUUAUAAAUCCUUUGAGUUAAGGAUAUGAUCAUACUUGCUAUGAGUUCCGUGCUCGAGGGCGGUCGCUCCCCCUCGGGCGAUGCGCUCCGGAGUUAUGCAUCACGGGUUGGAGUAAACCCGUAAGGACGGUCCUAGCUGGUGAGUUCCUGCGAUGAUGGACUUAAUGUGAAGCAAGUUAAUGUGGCGAAACCUCCGGGUUAGCCUUGAGAUUAAAGAACAAAGAACAAAGAGCAAAGAAUAAAGAACAAAGUACAAAGUAAAGUCAAAGAACUAAUGAGUUUGCAUAAUCUGCAUAUAUUUAAUGUUGAGCAUACUUCUUGCUAUUUGUUCAGGCAUAUUAGCAUCAUGUUAUAGAUUGGUUACUAUAUCCUGCUUAUCCUUUCUAUUAUGCCUGAGUUAGUCCUAGUGGGAAAGUCGGUGAUGUUGAGACCGAACCCACUGGGAACUUUGUUGUAGUUCUCACCCCACUAUUUCCACAGAGCCGGGACCGAGCGAGCCGGCGAGCGACCGAGGUAAAGGUAUCGCGCCUUAGUCAGAGGCCACCAGAGUUGGGUUUACAUUUUGUUAGUAGACACCUUUUUAUCAUCUUUUGUACUUGAUGGUAGUGAUGUAAAGAAAAGAAUGUAAAGCUUAUUUUGAGAUUGUAGAACGCAGCGGAAGUUUUCGGUUCGUACCUUUUUGCGGAAGCGAUUCGAGCCGGACAACGGGAUGAGCCCGGAUCGUUUAGAUUGAUUCACGUGUCCUCGGAUCGUCCUUAAAUGUCUUCUCAUGCUCCACGAACUCGCGGUGGAUCGAACUACAACCGAGCGCGAUCGCAAAUUCACCGUGCAAGUCCCUCUAGAAUAAUAGGUCAAUGGAGGAUGUGGUUUCUCGCUAUUAUUUUUUUAUUCUCUCUUUUUUUUUUUCGUUCUUUCCGUAUAUUCCUUUAUGUGGGAUCGCCCGCAUAUUUAUAAGGAAUUCCAAAAUCCUAAUAGCGUUAGAGAUAAGGCCAAAUCGGUUAUUAUUUGUUAUCCUAAUAUGAUUAGAUUUAUCUCUAAUUNUGAGAUUAAAGAAUAAAGAACAAAGAGCAAAGAACAAAGAACAAAGUGUAAAGUGUAAAGAACAAAGAAUUUGCAUAAUCUACAUAUGUUAAUGUUGAGCAUAUUCCUUGCUUUGGUUCAGGCAUAUUAGCAUCAUGUUGUAGAUUGGUUACUAUAUUUCAGCUUAUCCUUUCUAUUAUGCCUGAGUUAGUCCUAGUGGGAAAGUCGGUGAUGUUGAGGCCGAACCCACUGGGAACUUUGUUGUAGUUCUCACCCCACUAUUUUCACAGAGCCGGGACCGAGCGAGCCGGCGAGCGACCGCGGUAAAGGUAUCGCACCGUAGUCAGAGGCCACCGGAGUUGGGUUACAUUUUGUUAGCAGUUAUCCCUUUUAUCAUCUUUUGUAUUUGAUGAUUCAAGAGGUUAAUGUAUAAAGCAAGGAAAAGAAUGUAAAGCUUAUUUUGAGGUAUAUGUGAUGUAAGAAAGAAAUGAUGGAGUGAUGUAAUGAAAUGCAAAGAAUCCUAAAUGUAAGAAAUGGAUGCAAUGUAUAUGAUCUAAAAUGAAUCAUAUUACUUGUGUAGAAGUUUAGUUUUCCUAUCUUUCACUAAUGGCUAUUGCUUACCCUCGUGUAAGCCGUUUGUGUAUGUUUCCGCUAGUGCUUUUCUCUAUUGAUGAAAAUGUGCAUGUGAUGAGCCUUGGGCGGAUAGGGGAAACUCUGUCCGUUCGGCAUCUGUUUGACGUGCUCGGGUCGGGCCAAAUUGGCAUUGGUCCCGGGGCGUGACAGAUAGGUUGGUAUCAGAGCCAAUAGUGAAAGAAUAGGAAUGGACCUAGAGACCCUUAGGAUUGGGAGACCUUAAGGAUCUAGGAAACGUGAGUGACGUGGGAUCAAAGUUAGCGAAAGCAUGUGAUUGGGUUAAGUAGGGACGUCUCUAAUGUGAUUAGAGGCUAAGUUUAAUUUUCGUUUAUCCUCUACUUCUAGUGUUGUGUCGGGCGGCCGACGACAUGACGCUUGAGGCAAGGAUGAAUGUGUAUGUUGCUUUCGCCUAAUUGGGUAUGGUCGAGUAAUGUUGGUCAAGUGACUAAUGCGAGUUGCUUCUUUUCAGGAAGCAAUGGCACCUCGACGUCGAUCGCAGGCAAGGUCGAUGCCGGAGGAAACGAAUGUGGUGCCCGAGCAAUCCGGAGCAAGGGGCGACGGAGAGCUUAGGGAGCAAAUGGCCGCUCUUAUUGGAGUAGUGCGGCAGCAAGCGGAGUCUGUUCAACGCCAAGGGGAACAGAUCCAGCGGCUCCAGGAGACCAUGGAGCGCCAGCAGGCGGCGGCGGCCCAGGCGGGUGUCGAGCAGGUCGCGCCACCUGUGGUAGUGCCGAGUGUUGUUGAGGGAGCGGCGGCGGCAGCGGCUGUUCCAGUUACGGUAGUACCGGCCGGAUCGGGAACUUCAAAUCCCGAUAGUGCGGCAGUCGAUGCGGAGCGGGAGUGCACGUUGGCGGCUCUCAUUCAGUUCAAGAAGUUCGACCCACCUACCUUCGAAGGCGGUUUGGUGGAACCGGCGAUCGUGGAGUCAUGGAUCAACUCAAUGGAGACGCUCUUCGAGGAUCUCAAUACCUCGGAGAAGGAUAAAGUGUACCUUGCCACACACUGUCUUGAGAAAGCGGCAAAGGUGUGGUGGAAGCGAGUGAAGCGGGAUCGUCCUACCGAUCUUCCGCUUAUGCUUUGGGAGGAGUUCAAGAGAGCGGUAUUCGCGAACUACUUCCCCGACACGGUGAAGCGGAGGCUACAAGAAAAGUUCCGCAAGUUGAGACAGGGUGAUCGAUCGGUGGGAGAAUAUGAGCAGGAAUUCUCUCACAUCAUCGAUUGUGUUCCCGACGUUGUUCGUGAUGAUCGGGACCGGGCAGAUUGGUUCUUGCGAGGACUUCAACCCCGGAUUUAUGAGAAGGUGCAAAUCUUGAAGCUGUCGACCUUUGCGGAGGUCUUCGAUCGAGCCUUGUGGGCGGAGCACGGUAGCGCCUAUGUACGUGAAGAACGAGAGGCUAUGGCCGAGUCCAAGGACAAAGGCAAGAACAGAACGGCGGGUGGUGCCGGGGGCCGGCCAAGUGUUAAGAAACCCCCCCGGUAUCCCCGACAGCAGUCGAGGAACUGGAGACCACCUCGAUGCGUCAUAUGUGGCGGUGAGCGACGUGCCCACAGCGCGAUGGCAAGUGUUUCAAGUGCGGCCAACCGGGACAUCUUAUCCGGGAGUGCCCGUCGUGGACGUCGUCUGCGCCAACGGCGGCUUCAGCACCGUCUACCCCGCGACAGCUUGCGGGGUUGCCACCAGCGAUGUCGGCUGGGCGCGCGUCAUCACCGCGUCAGCCGGAGGGAUCGAGAGCGCCUAGCGGCCGAGUCUUUGCAGCUCAGGUGGAGGAGCAGCAACCUGCAGCACCCGACGACGUCGUGGCAGGUAUAAUUGUGAUUAAAGGCACUAGAGCUAGAGCCGUGUUUGACACAGGCGCAUCUCAUUCAUUCAUUAGCACUUCGUUUGCUAAGACACAUGGCAUAGAGAUGGUGUAUAAUGAGGAUUACUGGUGGGUGAACGCCCCAGAACAUUCCUUCAGUGUUCAUAACGAGUGUUUGGCGUGUCCAGUGCAAAUAGGCGAUUGGAUUAUGCCGAUUGAUCUGCUAGUGCUAGAUCAGAUGUGGGGAUUCGAUGUGAUCUUGGGGACCAACUGGCUCUCCAAGUACUAUGCGGUGAUAGAUUGUGAAAGUAAGGUGAUCACUUUUCGUGAGCCUAAUCAGGAAGAGUUGGUCUAUCAAGCGUGCAAGAGUAGGCGCUUCGCGGCGACCAUAUCGUCUGUAAGGGCGAAGAGAAUGAUCAAGGGUGGAUAUAAGGCCUAUUUGGCAACCAUGGAUGAUGGCCGUAGGGAGUAUCCAGACCUUGGAAGUAUCCGGGUUGCGUGUGAGUUUCCGAAUGUGUUUUCGGCGGAAUUACCGGGACUGCCACCGGACCGGGAAGUUGAGUUUAUCAUUGACUUGAUUCCCGGGGCGGAACCAGUUUCGAAGGCUCCAUAUAGAAUGGCACCGGUGGAGUUAAAGGAGCUAAAAGGUCAACUACAAGACUUGCUCGAUAAAGGCUUCGUGAGGCCGAGUGUGUCACCGUGGGGAGCUCCGGUGCUGUUUGUGAAGAAAAAGGAUGGCACACUUCGACUCUGCGUGGAUUAUCGCGAGUUGAACAAAGUAACGAUAAAGAACAAGUACCCGUUGCCAAGGAUUGACGAUCUAUUCGAUCAGUUGCAAGGGUCCAAGGUGUAUUCGAAGAUUGAUCUCCAAUCGGGGUAUCAUCAAUUAAAGAUCAGGCCGAAGGAUGUGCACAAAACGGCGUACCGUACGCGGUAUGGCCAUUAUGAGUUCACGGUAAUGCCGUUUGGGCUUACUAAUGCCCCGGCAGCAUUUAUGGACUUGAUGAAUCGAGUCUUUAGGCCGUUGUUGGAUCGAUGCGUCGUGGUGUUUAUAGACGACGUAUUGGUCUAUUCGAAAAGCGAAGAGGAGCAUGAAGAGCAUCUGAGAGCUGUGUUGCAGAUACUCAGACAAGAGAAGCUCUAUGCAAAGUUAAAGAAAUGUGACUUUUGGCUAAAGGAGGUCACAUUCUUGGGUCAUGUGGUAUCGGGCGACGGAGUUUCGGUAGACCCGAAGAAAGUAGAGGCGAUCAAGGAUUGGCCUCGCCCGACGAAUGUAGCGGAGAUCCGCAGUUUUCUUGGACUUGCGGGCUACUACCGGCGGUUCGUGGAGGGGUUCGCCAAAAUAACCACUCCACUAACGCGCCUCACGCAUAAAGGAGUAAAGUACGUGUGGAGCGACGAUUGCGAUCGAAGCUUCGAGGAGUUAAAGAACAGGUUGACGUCGACCCCGGUGCUUGCCUUGCCAACUCCGGGAGAGACCUUUGUAGUGUACAGUGAUGCCUCGUAUGUUGGUCUCGGGUGUGUAUUAAUGCAAAAUGGGCGAGUUAUUGCAUAUGCAUCGCGCCAAUUAAAGAGCUAUGAGAAGAACUACCCGAUUCACGACCUCGAGUUAGCCGCGGUGAUUUUCGCGCUAAAGCUUUGGAGGCAUUACUUGUAUGGUGAACAUUGUGAGGUAUACACCGAUCACAAGAGUCUAAAGUACUUGUUCACCCAGAAAGAGUUGAACAUGCGACAGCGGCGGUGGUUAGAGUUGCUAAAGGACUAUGAUGUCACCAUAUUAUACCACCCCGGAAAAGCCAAUGUUGUGGCCGAUGCCUUGAGUAGAAAAUCGGCGGAGAACUUAGCGACGGCAAUUACGCCUCAACCGCUAUUGCAAAAGGAAAUGCAACGAUUUGGGUUGGAAGUGGUAGCGCCGGGAGUGCCGGCUACACUUGCCACAUUGGUUGUGCAACCGACCCUAUUGGAAAGAAUCAAAGAGUUACAAGCUUCGGAUCCUUAUCUCCAAAAGGUUCGGGGUGAUGUUGAGAAUGGCAAUGCCGAAGACUUUGGCAUUGGAGCUGAUGGCGCACUUCGAUUUCGAAAUCGAUGGUGUGUGCCUAAAGAUGAUGAGUUGCGAAGGGCGAUCAUGCAAGAAGCGCAUCAAUCUCCCUAUAGUAUACACCCCGGCGGCACUAAAAUGUACAAGGAUUUGAAAGAGCACUAUUGGUGGCCGGGUAUGAAAAGAGAUAUUGGGGAGUUCGUGGCGCAAUGUCUAACGUGCCAACAAGUAAAAGCUGAGCGCCGAUUUCCGGCGGGAAAGCUACAAAGUCUACCAAUACCCGUUUGGAAAUGGGAAGACAUAGCAAUGGACUUUGUUACCGGUUUGCCUCGAUCACAAGGCGGACACGAUGCGAUAUGGGUGAUAGUGGAUCGAUUGACAAAGUCGGCACACUUCUUGCCGAUACAUACUACGUGGUCGGGAGACAAGCUAGCGCAAGUUUAUCUCGACGAGAUUGUGAGACUUCAUGGGGUCCCAGUAUCGAUUGUGUCAGAUCGAGACCCCAGGUUCACAUCCCACUUUUGGAAGAGUUUGCAAGACGCGCUAGGCACGCGGCUCGAUUUUAGCACGGCGUUUCAUCCUCAGAGUGAUGGACAAUCAGAGCGAACGAUACAAAUCCUUGAGGAUUUUCUUCGAGCGUGUGUGCUAGAUUACAGAGGAGGAUGGCAUGAUUUCUUGCCUAUGGCGGAGUUCGCCUACAAUAAUAGCUACCAAGAAAGUAUAGCGAUGGCGCCUUUUGAGGCACUAUAUGGUCGAAAGUGUCGUUCUCCUAUCCAUUGGAGUGACGUGGGCGAGAGAACAGCUCUCGGCCCGGAUGUAGUGCGGGAGGCGGAAGAAAAAGUUCGCCUUACUCGUCAACGGUUGGCGAUGGCGCAAUCUCGAAAAAAGAGUUAUGCCGACAAGCGAAGGAAGGAUUUAGAGUUCGCGGUUGGAGACCGUGUAUUCUUGAGAGUAUCGCCGAUGCGAGGAGUCAAACGAUUCGGGGUCCGUGGGAAGCUAAGUCCCCGUUAUGUCGGACCAUUUGAGAUAUUGGAGCGUGUGGGUGCGGUAGCGUACAAGCUCGCACUACCACCGAGACUCGCGGCAGUUCACAAUGUGUUUCAUGUGUCGAAUCUCCGAAAGUAUAUUCGCAAUGCGGCACAUGUAUUGGAGUAUGAGCCCGUGGAACUACGUGAGGAUAUGUCCUAUGAGGAGUACCCUGUGUGCAUCCUCGAUAGAGAAGUGAAAAAGUUGCGAAGUCGCAAGAUUCCGUAUGUAAAAGUCCAAUGGAGCAACCACGCGGCGCGAGAAGCCACUUGGGAGCUCGAGGAAACCAUGCGGAGAGAGUAUCCGCAUCUAUUUGAGUCGACGAGUUAAGGUAUGCGUAAUUUCGCGAACGAAAUUAUUUUAAGGGGUGGAGAAUGUAAUAUACCGAAAAUUCGAAAAAUAAAAAUGUCGAACUUUAGUCAAAUUGACCAAAGUGCGAGGAUGGUACACUUCGGAAAGUCCGAAGGUGUUAAAAUGAGUAAAAGUGAGUUACGGGAGGUUUUCGAGAGCUAUAGAAUCAAAUUUGCAAAGCUGCAGACUUUCAGCUCUCGGGGACCGGUCCCUGGUGGGAGAGACCGGUCCCCGAACGCGUAUAAGAUGAGACAGCCGAAAAAUCGGCUAAGUCCUGAGAAAGUAGCUCUCGGGAACCGGUCCCUGUCCGAGAGACCGGUCCCCGAGAGACCGGUCCCCCAAAGAGAGACCGGUUGCACUGUGCGCAGCAGCUUUGGCUGCGCUGGGACGACAUUCGGGAACCGGUCCCUGAAGGAGAGACCGGUCCCCGCCUGCGCGAACUGCCCAGUUCGGGCAGUGUAUUAAAGUGAAAGUUGAGGGGUUUAGACUGCAAUUUUGCAACCCAAUAGCUAUGUAUUGGGGUAAAUGAGGGAUUUCUCUCAUUUUCACCCUCUCAUUCCCUCUUUUCUCUCUCUCUCUCUCUCUAGAAGACAAAGAAGAAGAAAAAGAAAGGAAGAAAAGAAGGAGAAGAAGAAAGAAAGUGAAGGAGAAGAUCAGAAGCAAAGAGGCUUCAUCUUCUUCCUCUCUAGUUCAAAGAAAGGAAAGCUUAUAAGGUAAGCUUUGAACCUAAUCAUAGUGGAACCUAAUCUAGGGUUUGGAUUAAGCUUGAAAUGGGUUUUAUGGAACCAUUUGAGUAUUUGAAGCUUUUCUUUUGCUCUUUUUGAGAUCAAGACCAUAGAAAUGUGAGCUUGAGGUGAGCUUCAUCACCUCUCAUGGUGAAACCGUAAGUAGGGUUUUUGAUUUGUCUAAAGAUGGUUCUAAUGGACUAUUAGAGUAUAGUGAAGCUACUUUUGCUUCCCAAGAGAAUCAAACUAGGUUUUGUAUAUGUAUUGGAGCUAAGGCACCAAAUUGGGGCUUUUGCUAUGAGGGUUUCAAGUGCAAUUGACCUCCAAAAAUCUAAUUGGGGUAUUUCGACGCGUUGGUGCGCUCGGUUAACGUUACGAAAAGUCAAAGUAAAUUAUGAGCAAAUGGCCUAAAUAAGGUUCGUUUGCCGCAGGUAAAGAACGAAGCAUCUAAAAAUUUCAAGAAUCAUCGGAGCACUUUGAAAGCCUACGAGGUGGGUGGUGCUUCUCAAACCAUUGAACUUCUCUCUAUGCUAAUGUGUCAUUCAUUUGAGAGUGUAAUAUAUAUUGUUGCAUGCAUAUUAGGGUAAAGUAAUGAUAGAAUGUGAUGAUAGCAUGAUUGUGAUACAAUCUUAUAAUGAUGGUAGAGAGCCAAAUAAAUGUCAAAAACCCUAAGUGUAUGCAUUAGAGAAAAGUGAGCACCCAAAGUGAGCAAAAAACACAGAGUGACGCUAUGACAUAGAUCGAUGGAUUUGAAAAUGUAAAGUAAAGAGACACUAGAGUUAGUGUAAUGCAAAAACUAAUGUGAUGUAAGAAUGUAUGAAAUGAGCAAUGUGUAAUGUUAAAAUAAAGUGGGGCAAUAAAGAACAAGAAAUGUUGUGAACAAGAUGCCUAGAGUUAGCAAGAGUAAAGAAAAGUAAAGAGCAACGAUUUGCAUGAGUUUGCAACAUAAGUGAUGUAAUGACACUAGAGCUAGUGUAAAGUCAAGAUUGAACUUAAUAAAUCUUUGAGUUAAGGAUAUGAUCAUUACUUGCUAUAGUUCCGUGCCUGGAGGGCGGUCGCUCCCCCUCGGCGAUGCGCUCCGGAGUUAUGCAUCACGGUUGGAGUAAACCCGAAGGACGGUCCUAGCUGGUGAGUUCCUGCGAUGAUGGACUUAAUGUGAAGCAAGUUAAUGUGGCGAAACCUCCGGUUAGCCUUGAGAUUAAAGAACAAAGAAUAAAGAGCAAAGAAUAAAGAACAAAGUACAAAGUAAAGUCAAAGAACUAAUGAGUUUGCAUAAUCUGCAUAAUAUUUAAUGUUGAGCAUACUUCUGCUAUUUGUUCAGGCAUAUUAGCAUCAUGUUAUAGAUUGUUAUAUAUCUGCUUACCUUUCUAUUAUGCCUGAGUUAGUCCUAGUGGAAAGUCGGUGAUGUUGAGACCGACCGCACUGGGAACUUUGUGUAGUUCUCACCCACUACUAUUCACAGAGCCGGGACCGAGCGAGCCGGCGAGCGAGAGGUAAAGGUAUCGCGCCUUAGUCAGGCACCAGGUUGGGUUUACAUUUUGUUAGUAGACACCUUUUAUCAUCUUUAUACUUGAUGGUAGUGAUGUAAAGAAAAAGAAUGUAAAGCUUAUUUUGAGUAAAUGUGAUGUAAGAAGAAAUGAUAAAUAUGUAAUGAAAUGCAAAGAACCUAUUUAAGAGAUGGAUGCAAUGUAUAUGAUCUAAAAUGAAUCAUAUUACUUGUGUAGAAGUUAGUUUUCCUAUCUUUUACUAAUGGCUAUUGCUUCCCUCGUGUAAAGCGUUUGUGGUAUGUUUCCGCUAUGCUUUCUCUAUGAUGAAAAUGUGCAUGUGAUGAGCUUGGGCGGAUAGGAAAACCGUCCGUGUCGGCGUGUUUUUGACGUGCUCUGGUCGGGCAAAUUGGCAUCGGUCCUGGCGUGACAUUUCGGCUUCAUCAGCCGAAUCUUCUGCCUCUUCCGAUGGAAUGUCGGCUCUUCAUGAGCCGAGGAUUCUCAAAGAAAGAAAUAUUUUUCUCUUUCCUUUAUUCCAAUCUUUGUUUUGGCUCCACCUUUGGUCUCGUCAUUAUUUCCUUUUCGAAACUGCUCGUAUUGAGCAACUCGAACUCCCAAAUCAAACAGGUUUGGGAAAAAUUUAUCUCAAAUGAUCUUAAUUUUAAAAUGCAUGCCGUUGAAUGCCAUUUUGGCAAACUUCGAUUCCGACAUCCUUACAAAACGUACGGCUUCGAGCCAUCUUAAAUCGGUUAAAAUAUUCAUCAACCGAUUCCUCGUCCUUGUCUAAAUUGAGCAAGUCUGCAACCGACAACUCAGCUGCGUUCUAUAAAACUGCUCAUGAAAUUUACCCUCUAAUUCAUCCCAGUCUCAACGAAUUAGCAGGUAAACUUGUAUACCAAGUGAAGGCUGUCUUGGUUAGAUGAAGUAUGAAUAACCUGAACUUUAAAAAAGGAUCUGCCGCUGCUUCGCGGCAUUGGACUGUAAAUCGAGCGACGUGUUCAUCCUUAUUUUGCGUCUCAUCUCUAGAAAAUUUGUCAAAUUUUGCAUCUUCCAAUUUGCCGGAUAUGGGUGUUCUACAUCUAUAUAGGAGGAUAUGGUGAUCUGAAUACAGGCCGCAUUGCGCCCUGUGCCUACUCCGAAAGUAUUCGGAUCGCUUCUUCUAUUUACGCAUAUAUCCAUUAUUGAUCCCCUGUAUGGAGACUUGCGCUGGCACUGGAUUCAGUGUUGUUGAACCCCGAGAUUCAGUACUAAGGGAUUAACCCCUUGUGCAUUCGGGCCUGCCCCCUAGCCCCUACGUUUGGGCUGGUAGGCUACAACUGGAGGGGGUGGAGGUAAUCCCCAGCCACUUCCGGAUGUGUGACCGGUGUUCCCAACAACUUGUCUAUAAGCCGCUUGAUACUUGCCCCCUGGUAUUGGGGCUGACCAACAACCGUGUUACUGGAUUUUGUAACACAGGCGUUAUCACAGGCGCUGAAGGCCUGCUAUCGGCUGUUCGUUUCGAGUUACACUGCCCUAUUCGGCUAUGUUUCCGUUAGAGACCGUGAUUGCGGCCAAAACGGCAUCCAGCCGCGCGUACUCGCAUGGACUAUUCUGGUCCAAAGUCUGUAGGACCGUGUCAUUUGGCCGAGUACUUGGUCAAACUAGUCUCCUGUUGGCCAGAUUGACGCUAGUCCCACUUCCACCGGUAAAACUGCUUGGCGCUCCACCGCAUUGCUCCGAAUUACUGGCUGUCACGAUCCGAGAAUUUCUAGGAAUGGCCCUAUUACGGAAUUCAUGGCGUUGUCAUCGGCCAUAUUAUAAAAUGCAAAUUUACCUCAAAAGAGUCCACCGGGCGUGCAAAAUUGUUGGUGGCCGAAAGUCCCGACCUCGGCUAGGUCAGAAUAUACUCCUCGGGAAGGGCGUCGGGAUGAUACGCGGCUGCUGAUUUGACCCUCGAAGUUUCCGCCACGACGGAUCAAGCGAAUUCGGCCAAGAGGGAUCGAAUCAGCCGGUGUUCGAAACCUCCACAGUAAAUUCGCUUCGGCGGAAUGAGCCGAAUGGAGAAGGAAGCCUGUAUCUCGCUGAGAGACGAGCCGAAACGACUGAACAACUCGAGAUCUGAUCGGCAAGAAGGGCGAUAAAACAGCUUUCUAUUAAAGGGAAGACAGAGAAUUACAGGAACAGGGAGUGAUGCCCGUAGGGCAGACAACUCCGAGUAUGAGAACAGGAGAGUGAUGCCGUAGGGCAGACGACUCCGAGUGUGCUAAAUUACAGGAACACUACUCCUAAUGAAAAGCGGUAAAUGCAGAAAGAAAGAUGCAGGAAAAUAAAGUGGUCUUUUGUGGCGCAGGGGCGAAGACCUGUUUUCAGAGUAUCGAACGCUUAUUUAUAGAAUUGUCCUUGCGUUACUUAUUCUCUUGCACGAUCAGUCACGAUCUCCUGAAUUGUAGGACCACCUUGGUCGAUCGAACCGCUCGUUACUGCUGGCGGUUGCUAUAAUUCUUGGUCCAGCGCGGCUCGCGUGUGUCCGGUGUACUCUAGGUCUACCGUUUUAGCGUCUUACUGAUAUGGACCCCGGCGUGCCUCUGUUCGCGCCUGACUGGCUCAACAGUAACUUUAAUUGAAAUAAGGAGAUCAAUUGAACAAAUUUAUAAAACUUAGGAGUUUUGAUUAUUAAAAUUGAAUGUUUAGAUGUUUGGUUGUAAAGAGCUAAAAUAGAUGGAGUCUCUCUUUAACUUGUUUUUUCCUUAAUUAAUAAUAUUUUUAAUCGUCAAUAUAUUUCGAAAUUACCUACUUCAAUUAUAUAAUAACAUAACAAUACGAUGAAGUAAAAGAUCAAACUCCUCUCUAAAAUUAAAAAAUUAAAAAUAAAAAAAAACUCGCUACCUUUGCCACGAAAGCACACGCCACAUCCCGCGUACACGUACAGCACGUAGGCGAAUUUCUUUUCGGAGUGCCUCGGCACACGUGUCAGCUCUUCGCCGCCGCAGCAGACAAAGCACCAAAUGCAUGGCGUCACAAUUUCACAUCACGGGGAAAGCUCAGCGUUAACGGCAUAACCCAAGUGCUCCACCCCAUUGGCUCUCCGCUUAAUUAAACCCCCAAGAGAUAAAAGCACAAUCCUUAUCCCACGAAAGAGAUCCGAUGCCUUUUUUUUUUUUUUUUUUUUUUUUUUUUGCCUCUGUGUGUGUACGUGCGUUUGUGUUUGUGUUUUUUUUCCCCUCUCUUUGGAAAAUGUAUGCGGGUAGUGGGUAGGCAAAUUAGUGUUGGCAAUAUCAAAACAGUUCCCAAAGAAAACUAAUUAAAUGUUGAGAAAUAUAAAAAGUUACAAAUAUUUUGAAACUAAUUUUCUGUCGAAGCUUAAUUUGUUCAAGUCUAGUAGCCAGUUAAUUACUUUCCUAAACUAUGGCUUCAACUUUACAAACUAUUUGAUCACUAAUAAUCUAGACAUGCCUUUUUUUUUAAGAGAUAAUUACCUAUAUACCUCUCAAAUUUCAAAAAUAUUUCAUUUAUCCUACUUUAAUUUUUCUUUCAAUAUACCUCUCAUAUGCCUCCUUAUUCCAAAAUAUCCUUAUAGUUACCACCCCGUUAAGUUAACUUAAGUUAAAUGUGAGUUGAAAUAUCUAUUAGAAUUUUUUUUAAAAAAAUUAAAAUAUCUAUUUUACUCUUAACUUAAGGGCGAAUAAGAAAUGUUGGUGAUGACAAAAGAGUAUAUUUGAAAAACCUAAAAAUUAAAAUAUUUUUGUGUGCCCUAAUUUAAGGGUAAAUAAGAAAAGUCGGUUAUGAAGAAUGGUAUAUUUGAAGGGGAAAAUAGUAAUUUUAUAGAGAUAACAGUAAUACCUAACCGUUCAUUAACAGAAUUUAACUCCAAGGCCCCGUUUGGUUCGGGGAUAAGUGGGGAUAACGAAAGUUAUCCCGCUAUUCCGUCAAACGGGAUCAUUUUUUAUCGGAAUAUUUUAUCCCGGUCAAAACUUGCUAUUCCUUAUCCCGGAAUAGCAAGCUUUUUACUAUUCCACUAUUUGAUGGAAUAGUGUUCCAUGCUUAAUUCAAAACUUAAUUAAAAUUAUAAAAUAAAUUAAAACUAAAUUAUAUAAAUAUAAUAUAUUAUAUAUUAUAAUACAUUAUUUUUAUUAUAAAAUUAUUAAUUGUGCUAUAUUAAUACAUAUUAUUUAUAUUUAAAUAUUAUAAUAAAUUUUAUAAUAAAUUAUAUUUAAAUAUUAAAAUAAAUUAAAAUUUAAAAUUUAAAUAAAUUUAAAAUUUAAAAUAUUAUAAUAAAUUAUAUUUAAAAUUUAAAAUUUGUAAUCUCAAAAUUAAAGUUUAUAAUUUUAAAUUCCACAUUUUAAAUUUUAAAUUUGAAUUUUGAAAUUUUAAAUUUUUAAAAUUUUAAUUUUGAAAUUUUAUUUUUUUUUCAAAUUUAAAUUUGAUCUUAAAUUUAAAGUUUAAAAUUUAAAUUUUAAAAUUUUGAAUAUAAAAUUUGAGAUUUUAAAUUUAAAAUUUUAAUUUUAAAUUUUUAAAAUUUAAAAGUUAAAAUUUUAAAUUUUAAAAUAUAAAUAUAAAAUAUAAAAAUUCAAAUUCUAAUAUAAAGAAAGAAAUAAUAUUAUUAAUUUUUAUUUAUAACUACCUACUUUAAUUCUUAUUCCAUCUUAUCUAACCAAACGUUAUUUUUCUUAUUCCCAGAAAUAACCCAAUUUUCAUCCAAACGUAAAAUUGAUCUAAUCUCCGCUUGUACCUCAAUUUAUACCUAUCCCUGGAAUACCCACCUUUUGCUUAUUCCCGAACCAAACGAUACCUAAGUAUAUAUUUAAAUAGGUUGGAACUUAAAAAAGAGAUUUUUAAUAUUAUCUUUUUAAGAGGAUAAUCAGAAAGUUAAAAACUUUUCAAGGAUGUAUAAGAAAUUGCCCCUUUUUUAAAAUAUAGAAAAUGAAUAAAGCAUUGAAUAGCUAGAUGUUAUGUUUGUGGCAUUAAUUCUAAACAGCUAUCAUAAAACUGUUAAAAUCAUAAUUUAAUUUAUUCAUUACAUUUCGUGACAUUUAAAAGACUCACAUAUCAAAAGUUAUAAAUUCUGAAAAUUACCAUGACUCCAAUAAUAUUCUUUCUUAAUUUGUAUUGCCGGUUCCUCGCUACUUCUUAUUGUCUACUCCAUCUGUAGAUUUUCCCACCGCAUUAAAUUUUAUGCAUAGGCCAAUUAAUUAGAUUUUGCACAUCGUAUCUAUUGAAUAUAUAUGAAUUUGGCGUUAGCACACGACCAUCUCACUCACAUGUCAAUUUUUUUAACAUCUCGAUCGGCGCGCUCUCGUAUGUAGCGAAUAUCAGUUAAAUUAAUUACCACACGAUACAUGUACAGUGACAAGAGAUAGAAAGCUGCAGAGACAAUCAAAUUAAUAACAGAUAGUUAGCAACAUAUCUGUUGGAUUAGGGUUUAAGACCGGCUGGCUCUACUACGUACCAUUUAACUGCCAAGGUAAUUAAUUUAUGAGGAUGAGUCUGGAAUAUAUAUGUGGAGUAGGGCUACUAUACUCUUAUGAGUAUAAAGUCCUUCGUACUCAUUAGUUGGUUUUGAUGUUGGGGUUUCGAAUAGACGAUCCACACCACUAAACAUGAUCUAGAAUACUUGAAACUUCUACAAAAUAAAUUUCGUAAUUUUUCGAAAUCGUUAUAAAGUCCAUUAAGCGGGUAUAAAAUGAACGGUUAAAACCGAACGACAUCCUAAAAAUGGAUGAUCGGAUCAUUCAAUUUAAGAUCGGAAUUAUUGAUCUUUAUCUAGGUACGUAGUGAAUAGAAUUUUCUAUAAAAAAUCCAACCUAUUCCGAUUCUUUUACACCGUUAAAUUACCAAGUAUAUAUUCCAUACCGGAUGUUAAAAAGUUUCAAUUUUGUGAGCUUUUGAUCGUAAGAUAAUGAUAUCAAAAAAUUAUAAAAUUUGAUUUCUAUAAGUUUUAAAUACUCUAGAUAAUAUUUAACGGUAUGGAUCGUUGAUUCGAAAGCUCUAUCACCGAAAAUAAAUACGAGGGCAAUCGUGGGCCCCACGCCCACGUGUCUGUACCAGGUAUAUAUAUAUAUAUAUAUAUAUAUAUAGAGUGAGGCUACUAUGCUAUCGGAAGCACGGAGCCUUCCGUGCUUCCAGCUCGUUUUCGAUGUUGCUACUUUCAAAUCGUCGAUCGGCUCCGUUAAAUUUGAUCUAGAGUAUUUGGAGUACCUAGAAAAUAAAUUUUAUUAUUUUUCGAUAUCAUUUGCCUAGUGAUCGAAUGAGUUCAAAAUCAACAAAUUUCAAUGGCCGUAGUGAGCCGUUUGCAAGUUUAACGAUGUAGAAAUAUCCAAAUCACGUGAAAUUUUGAUAGAAAAUUCUUUAUACUAUAUAAAACAAUAUCAAUAUCUUUGAUUUAAAAUUUUAAUGUCAUAUUAUUACAUUUUGUAAGAUUUUUAUUUUCAGCCGUUGAUUUUGAACCCCUUCGUUCACUAGGCAAAUGAUAUCGUAAAAUCAAAAAAUUUAUUUUCUAGGUACUUCAAAUACUCUAGAUCAAGUUUAACGGAGCCGAUCGACGAUUCGAAAGUCGCAACAUCGAAAACAAGCUGUAAGCAUAGAAGGCUAUGUGCUUCCAAUAGCAUCGUAGCCUCACUCUCUCUCUCUCCCUAUAUAUAUAUAUAUAUAUAUAUAUAGAGAGAGAGAGAGAGAGACUACUAUACUAUUAAUAGCACGAAAUCAUUCGUGCUACCAAGUUUUUGGCCAUUGGAUUAAGAAAAUGUGCGGUUAGGAUGAUGUGGACCCCCUAGGGUUGAUUGGGUGGUUGGUUGAAUAGUAUGAUCUAACGGGUGAAAAUGAUCAAAAGCGUAGAUUUAAUGACGAAAAACUUGAUAGCACCAAGUACUUCGUGCUACUAAUAGUAUAGUAGCGAGACUCAUAUAUAUAUAUAUAUAUAUAUAUAUAUAUAUAUAUAUAUAUAUAUAUAUAUAUAUAUAUAUAUAUAUAUAUAUAUAUAAAACACUUUCCAAGUUUCAACCAACUACCUAACAUGCCUUUCAUGUGGUGCAUGCAUAAGGUUCAGUAGGGAUACACCUGGUACAGACACUAAUUAUAAAUAAAUAAAUAUUCCCUCUCCAUUUAUAUUUGCAGUCCUUUUCCUUCUUUUUCUUCUUUAAUUUUGUGAUUACGAAUGACAAUGGGAAGAAGUAAAGUUACUUUAGUGGAGUUUAUACGUGGCAUUAUUGGGAGCCAAUAGAUCGACGGGCAAAUUAAGAGAGAGACGGCGUGGCAUGGCAUGGCAUAUGGAGGAGUCGCGCGCGGACUGCCCUGCCCCUCUUUCGACGGUAAUGGCAUCACGUACGUCCCACCGUUAAUUGCAUGGGGGGGGGGGGUGAAGUUAAAAGGGAGAUCGCUACCACACGCCAUGUGGGAGUGGGGCCCACGAUUGUGCUCGUGUGGGGCCACCUCCACGUAUCGUGCUUCUCUUGGGCGGCCUCGCCGACAAUCCCCUGUUGCUUUUGCUUCGCCAGUCGCUCACUGCCGCUGUGGCUUUCCCCAUGUCGCGGUGGGGAAGGGCAUAUUAAUGGCUUUGAAUUGAAAGAUGGAAUCCUUCGCUCAGACGCGCUAUGAAAGUUGGAAAUUUCAAUCCAGAAUCGUCUUCCCCAUAAUACUCUUCUUUUAUAUAUAUAUAUAUAUAGUUAUUGAAUUAAGAGAUGUGUGGUUAGAAUAAUGUGGGCCUCCUAGGAUUGAGUGGAUGGUUGGUUAAAUAAUAUGAUCUAAGGGAUUAAAUGAUCAAAAUGGUAGAUCUAACGGCGGAAAACUUGGUAGCAUUAAAUGCUUCGUGCUAUUAAUAGCAUAGUAGCCGGACUAUAUAUAUAUAUAUAUAUAUAUAGAGAGAGAGAGAGAGAGAGAGAGAGCUAGGCUCCUAUGCUUUCGAAAGUAUGGAUGCCUCUGUGAUUGUAAGUUGUUUUCGAUGAUGGGACAUCCGAUUUAGCGAUCGGUUCCGUUAGACAUGAUUUAUGCUAUUGGAACUAUCUAUUAAUCAAUUUUCAUAAUUUUUUGACUUCAUUUACCCAGUGAACGAGUAGUCUCAAAAUGAACGGCUGAAAAUAAAAAUCUAAUAAAAAACGGUGAUAAAGGGCUCAAAUUUCAAAUCGAUAGUAUUGCUCUUACUCUUGAUAUUAAGUAAAAUUUUUUAUUAAAUUUUCAUGUAAUUUGGAUACAUCUACACCGUUGAACUUAAAAACAUGCCACAUUGGCCGUUAAAAUAGUCAUUUUUUAGACCCUGUGAUCGCUUUGUAAAUGAUGUCAAAAAAUUAUGAAAUUUGGUUUCUAGAUAGUUCCAAUAACAUAGAUUAUACCUAUUGGAGCCGAUCGUCAAAUUGGAUAUCCUAUCAUCGAAAACAACUUACAAGUACGGAAGCCUCCGUACUUUCGAAAGUACAGGAGACUUACUCUAUAUAUAUAUAUAUAUAGAGAGAGAGAGAGAGAGAGAGAGAGAGAGAGAGAGAGAGAGAGAGAGCAGGGCAGCUUUGCUCUCAGGAGCAUGAAUGCCUCCGUGCUCUUGAGCCGUUUUCGAUUAUGAAGUUUUCGAAUCGAUGAUCGGCUCUGUUAAACUUGAUCUAACGUAUUUGAAGUUUCUAAAAAAUAAUUUUUGCGACUUUUCAAUAUCAUUUACCUAGCAAUCGAAAUGAUUUAAAAUCAAUAAUUUUUAACGGCUGAAAAUAAAAAUUCUAUAAACAGUGGUGAUAUAGCACUAAUUUUUAAUCAGAAAUAUUGAUCUUGUUGUAGAUAGUAUAAAAAAUUUUGUAUCAAAAUUUUAUCUGAUUUGAAUACUUCUACACCGUUAAACUUGAAAACGGCAGAUAUCAACUAUUAAAAAUUAUGGAUUUUGGAUUUUGAAUCUUUUUCGAUCACUAGGUAAAUGAUAUCAAAAAAUCAAAUAAAUUAUUUUCUAGAAACUUCAAAUGUACUAGAUCAAGUCUAAUGGAGCCGAUCGUCGAUUCAAAAAUUCCAUCAUAAAAAACGGCUCAGGAGCACGGAGGCCUCCGUUUUCCUGAGAGCACAGCUGUAACGCACUGGACCUUUGCAAAUUGCGAGGUUCGAGUGAUUGGUUGUGUUCUAAGUUUUUUCAGAUUUUUCUGGUGGGUCGUUGACAGUGUUCCGACUUAUGGCUCGUAUUCUGAGAAUUGUAGUAUUUUAAGUAGCGCUAAGAUCGCCAAAGUAGAGGAUUUAGGCUGCUCUCGGAUUGCUAUUUUCGGGACUGCGUACCGGUACAGGGUUGGUGGCUGUACCGGUACGCCGGCCCGUGUACCGGUACACUGCGGCAGAAUCUGAAUGGACGAAACUGUAGGGGUGUUUUUGCAAAGUGGCUUCUCUAUAUGUGUCCCUACGCCCCUAGGGCAUUUUCCUGAGCUGGGAACACAGGGAAUUAAGGUAAGGGAGCUUCUCCUUGUCCCUCAAUGGUGAUUUUAUCCCUUUCUCUUGGAUUUUGGUGGAUUAAUCUCUCUCUUUUUCCCUCUUGGUACAUUUCCACCAUGGUUGAAGCUUGAGGCUUGGUUUUAAAGCUUGGUUGAGGGAAGAUCUUUGAAGUUUGAGGAUUUAGAGCUUGGAUUAAAGCUUCCAAGAGGUUGGUAACAAGUUUCUUUUAUCUAGAUUCUUGUUUUGAUGGUUUCUUUGAGAUGAAACCCUAGAAUGAGGUUUUUGGGUUGAUUUUGGGGCUUUUUGAUUAGAAGCUUUUAGAGCUAAUCUAAUUAGAUUAGAACCUUAGUUUAGGUUGCUUUGGAAGGGAUUUAGCUUCCUUUUGAGCUUCGGAAAGGGAUUUCUCCACUAUAGGUGAGAUUUUAGCCCCUUUGUAUAGAUGGUUAAUGUUUGAUCUUAUAGUUGUUCGUAAGGUUCGUUUAACCUUUAUUUCUAUACCUCUAGGGUACUAGGAGGCUAGUGGGCACCUUCGUCGGAGCUUACGAAGGGUUGCGCAAGUUUCGGUGGGUUUGACCUAGCCUACAAUGUCACGCCGCAAUCCCCGCCAAUUUGGUCGGGUUCGGGUCGCGUCAAUAGACGCCGAACGGAUAGAGCCUCCCCGUCCGCCCAAGGCUCUAACAACAUGUAUAAAUAAACAAUCAACAAGGGAUUUGCAUAUAUAAUACAAGGCUUGCACAGGGGCAAGCAACAACGGAAAUGAAAGCUCUAAGCUAAUUAUAUAGUAUACAUGAUAUUUGAUUAAAUUUAAACCAAAUACAAGUAAAUAAAAUUAUUACAUUUCCAUUCACCCAUCAUAUCUUUUUACAUUUAGUCAUCCGCCAAACACAUGAUUGUUUACAACUUUGCAAUUCUAAUUCAACAAAAGAAGUUGAUAUAUGUAUACCCAAAAAGGGGAAUGACUACAAAAUAUAAAAAAUCCCGGUGGCCGCUAUCUACGGCGCUAUACCCUUGGCUCGGUCCUCCGCCGCCCCGCUCGUGCUAGGACCUGUAGGGUUAGUGGUGUGAGAACUACAACGAAGUUUCCAGUGGGUUCGGCAUCCGACCUCGCCGACUUACCCACUAGGUCUAUCUAGGCAUAAGUAUUUCAAGGACAGAAAAGUAACUAGUACUAAUGCAUCUAAUACUAUGCCUGCAGAAAAAUGUCAGUGGAUACAAAUACUCAAUGCAAUAAUGGAAAAUGCAUGCAUGCUCAAUUCAUAAAUAAGUUUUGGCUCUUUUCGCAGUCGGGGACCGGUCUCCCCGACUAGGGACCGGUUCCCGAAUGUUGGGUUUCCAGGACUUAGCCGAUUUUCUGGCUUUUUCAGCUGCUGCGCGACGAGGGACCGGUCUUUCCCUCAGGGACCGGUCUCCCGAGGACCGGUCUCACUGCAAGGGAUCGGAUGCCUCAGGAUUCCUGACAAGCUACGCGUACGAGAACCGGUCUCUCCUUCAGGGACCGUCGAGGACCGAUCUCUCCUUCAGGGACCGAUCCCCAAGAGCACAAAAUCUACGACUUAGCCAGAUUUUGAAAUCUCACUCUCUCGGGUCCCUAUGCAUCAUAAAUAGGCUCCAAUGCACUUAGGGCCUAUACCCACUCGUUCCACUCCGCGUUCCGCUCGUUUCGACGGAACUAGGCACGAUUUACGAGGGACAUGGUAUGUUACAUUCUCCACCCCUAUAAUUUAGUUUCGUCCGCGAAACUACUAAGUUCGAAAUUUAAAUUUCACACAUCACUUCAGUUCCUCAAAGAGGUGAGGAUAACGCUCCCUCAUUUCCCUUUCGAGCUCCCACGUUUCUUUCCGGUCAUUAUGCUCGCACCAAUGAAUCUUGACAUACGGAAUUUCACGGUUCCGAAGCUUUCGCACCUCCCGAUCGACAAUAUAUGCCGGGAACUUCUCAUAAGUCAUAUCCUCUUGAAGCUCUAUCGGAUUAUACGAGAGAAUAUGAUCUGGGUCGUACAUAUACUUGCGGAGUUGGGAUACAUGGAACACAUCAUGUACUCCUGCGAGCCUCGGUGGUAAUGCCAACCUGUAGGCCACCGCGCCAACUCGUUCCAAAAUCUCGAAGGGUCCGAUAUAGCGGGGGCUUAGCUUCCCGCGAACACUGAACUGCUUAACUCCUCGCAUCGGUGAUACUUUUAGAAAUACGCGGUCUCCCACCGCGAACUCAAUAUCCUUUCGCCGCUUGUCGGCAUAACUCUUGUGCCUUGAUUGCGCCGUCACUAAUCUUUGUCGGGCAAGGCGGACUUUCUCCUCCGCCUCCGGCACCACUUCCGGGCCAAGAACCAUCUUCUCGGCCAUAUCGCUCCAGUGUAUUGGCGAGUGAUAUUUCCUUCCAUAUAGGGCCUCGAAUGGCGCCAUCGCAAUGCUUUCUUGAUAGCUGUUGUUGUGUGCGAAUUCCGCCAUCGGUAAGUGGUCGUGCCAUCCGCCCUUAUAAUCAAGCACACACGCUCGAAGCAUGUCCUCAAGUAUUUGAAUAGUCCUUUCCGAUUGACCGUCACUUUGAGGAUGGAAUGCCGUACUAAAGUCGAGCCGCGUGCCCAAUGCAUCUUGUAAACUCUUCCAAAAAUGAGAUGUGAACCUAGGGUCCCGAUCCGAUACAAUAGAUACCGGAACCCCAUGAAGUCUCACCACCUCGUCAAUAUAGACUUGAGCUAACUUGUCUCCCGACCAAGUAGUGUGGAUCGGCAAAAAGUGUGCCGAUUUUGUCAACCAGUCCACAACUACCCAAAUCGCGUCAUGUCCACCUUGUGACCUAGGCAAACCUGUCACAAAAUCCAUUGUGAUGUUUUCCUAUUUCCACACGGGUAUAGGUAGACUUUGCAAUUUCCCCGUCGAAAAUUGACGCUCCGCCUUCGCUUGUUGGCACGUGAGACACUGCGCCACGAACUCUUCUAUAUCUUUCUUCAUGCUCGGCUACCAAUAAUGCAAUUUCAGGUCUCGAUACAUUUUGGUGCCGCCCGGGUGAAUGCUAUAGGGAGACUGAUGCACUUCUUGCAUAAUCGCCCUCCGAAGGUCGUCGUCCUUGGACACGCACCAACGAUCUCGAUAUCGUAGUGCACCGUCGGUUCCAAUGCCAAAGUCAUCGGCACUACCGCUCUCAACUUUGCCCCGCACCUUUUGGAGAAAUUCAUCCGAUGCUUGUAAUCCUUUAAUUUUCUCCAACAAGGUUGGUUGUACUACUAGGGUGGCAAGUGUUGCCGACACUCCCGGCGCCACAACUUCUAGUCCAAACCGCUGCAUCUCCUUUUGCAAAGCCGGUUGAGGUGUAAUUUCCAUCGCCAAAUUUUCCGCCGACUUUCUACUUAGAGCAUCGGCCAUGACGUUCGCUUUCCCGGGGUAGUAGAGAAUCGUGACAUCCAUAAUCUUUGAGCAACUCUAACCACCGCCGCUGUCGCAAGUUUAGCUCUUUCUGGGUGAACAAGUAUUUGGGACUUUUAUGAUCGGUGUAGAUCUCACAAUGCUCACCGUACAAGUAAUGCCUCCACAAUUUUAGCGCGAAGACAACCGCCGCUAGCUCAAGGUCGUGAGUCGGGUAGUUCUUUUCAUACCUCUUCAACUGGCGCGAAGCAUAAGCUAUGACUCGGCCGUUUUGCAUUAAGACACACCCGAGACCGAUAUAUGAAGCAUCACUGUAUACGACAUAACUAUCUCCCGGUAUCGGCAAGGCAAGCACCGGAGUAGAUGUCAGUCUAUUCUUAAACUCCUCAAAGCUUCGCUCACACUCCGGGCUCCAAACAUACUUCACCCCUUUGUGCGUAAGGCGCGUUAGUGGAGUUGUUAUCCUGGCAAACCCCUCCACGAACCGCCGGUAGUAGCCCCCAAGUCCAAGGAAGCUACGGAUUUUCGCUACACUUGUCGGGCGAGGCCAAUCUUUAAUUGCCUCAACCUUCUUUGGGUCCACCGAGAUGCCGUCUCCGGAUACAACGUGACCCAAGAAGGUAACCUCCGAAAGCCAAAACUCACAUUUCUUUAGUUUUGCGUAAAGCUUUUCCUUCCAGAGUGUCUCCAACACGAGUCUUAGAUGCUCCUCGUGUUCGUCCUCAGUUCGAGAAUAUACCAACACGUCGUCAAUGAAAACCACGAUACACCGGUACAAUAGCGGACGGAAGAUUCGAUUCAUUAGGUCCAUAAAUGCCGCCGGGACGUUAGUGAGCCCGAAUGGUAUGAUCGUAAACUCAUAGUGGCCAUGUCGCGUACGGUACGCCGUCUUAUGCACGUCUUUGGGCCGUAUCUUCAACUGAUGAUCCCCCGACUGCAGAUCAAUCUUCGAAUAUACCCUUGACCCUUACAACUGGUCGAAUAAGUCAUCAAUUCUCGGCAAUAGGUAUUUGUUCUUGAUCAUCACUCUAUUCAACUCGCGAUAAUCAACGCAGAGUCGAAGUGUGCCGUCCUUCUUCUUUACAAAUAGCACCAGAGCUCCCUACGGGGACACGCUCGGCCGUACGAAGCCUUUAUCGAGUAAGUCUUGCAGCUGAGCCUUCAACUCAUUUAGCUCCACCUGUGCCAUUCUAUAUGGAGCCUUCGAAAUUGGCGCCGCCCCAGGAAUCAAGUCAAUGACAAACUCGACUUCCCGAUCCGGGGCCAAUCCCGGUAACUCCGCUGAAAACACAUUCGGAUACUCACGCUGUAAUAUACCAGAUUUGGUAUAAAAAUAAUAAUAAAUAAAAAUAGUGUGAGAAACUAUUUUUAUUAGAUUUAUAGAGGUAAAACAUAAGUCAGAGGUGACUUGUGCUGAAAUCGGAAUUAAAACAGAAGAUCUAGAAUUUUCUGUUGGAGACGGGACAGAAAAAUAAGCAGAAAAUGCACAUCUCAGAAAAUUAUGAAAAUUGACGGAGAUGUCAGAAAUAUUUUUAUGAGGCUAGAUUUAAGGUUUCAUAUUUUUCUGACACCCAUAGAGUGAGAAAUAAAAUCCGAAAGCUAUCUGAUAAAGAUUGCAGUUCGGUACAGUUUUCAGUGACCAAAUGGGGUCGAAACUGAACCAGUGAUCGUCAGCUUGUUAAGUUAAGUAAAACCGAACAUGACUGUCAAGUUUGAGCUCAAACGGAGAUUCAGGGAGCUCCGGCGAAAGUUAUCAGAUUUUAAGCUGCCUGGAGGUGAAUAGUGUUGGGGUGUAAUUAAAUAGAAGCAUGAUGCUUCUUCUUCCUCCUUCAGCCGUGCACACCCACACACACCUCACGCACACAUGGAGAGAGGAGAGAAACUCUCCUUUCUCUCUCUAGAGAUCUCUCUCAUUUCUCUAUAUUUCUCGCUCAAAUUCGCGGGGUUGGUGGAGAAUAUGCUUACGCACGCGUUGGAGGCGACGGAUUGAGCUUUCGUGCGCCCGUUGGAGCGGUGUGUUGUCGUCGCGGCGUUCACAUUGAGGUAAGCUUUUAGGAUUUGGCUUAAUCCUUAGCUUUAAGUAUUCUAAUAGCCUCUAAUGAGCUUUGUUAGCAUGUUGAUCCAUUUAAUUUUGGAUUAUUUUGAGGUUAAUAACAUAUUAGGGCUCCGAAUGGGGUUUUGUAAAAUAUAAGGGUUUGAUCUAAUUUGACCCUCCGUAAACCUAAUUGCUAGGUAAACGAACGCGUUGGCGAAGACGGUUCGGCGAUCCGACGAGCUGUUACAAAGUUAUUAAAGAAAUGGACGUUUAGGCUUCGGGUCCGCCGGGAGGGCCGAGGCGAUAUCGUAAAUUCAUGAAAAUGGAUUUGAAGCAUCGUGGCACAUAACCGAAGACCUUUAAUUUUCGGAUCGUGAAUUGGAGGCCGUUCGGGUGGUCGCGUGAGAGAUCGGGCCAAACCGGGUUACGGGUGCCGCGGGAGGCCGAUUGCAAGUGUCGACAAGCAAUCGGAAUGCGAAAUGAGGUGGGUUGUGCUCACCGAAGCGAUUAGGUCGCUUUCCAUGCUAAAGUGUAGUAUGUUUACUAUUGAUGCAUGAUAAAGUAUGCUAUUUAAGAAUGCAUGAUAAAGAUUAAAGUAUGCUAUUUGAGAAUGCAUGAUAAAGUAUGCUAAUUAAGAAUGCAUGAUAAAGAUAGAUGCCAAAUGAAUGCAUGAGUUGAUGUUAAUUUAUAUGUGCAUAUUAUAGAAAUGCUAAAUAGAUGUCAAAUGAAAGUAUGAGAUUUGUACUAACCGAGAAUGCAUGUAGUAAAUGUUAACGAAUGCAUAAAAUGCUAAGUAAUGACUACCAAUGGAUGACAAAAUAUAUGCAUGUUGAACAUAGAUCGAGUGGCAUUCGAAAUGGUAAAGUGGACACUAGAGUUAGUGUGGGACAUCAAAGAAUAAAUGUGAUGUAAAGAACAAUGAUAAUGGCUAAAGAUAAUGUAAAACAAUGUGAUGAUAAUAAUGUAAUGUUGCAUGAUGUGAGUACACGUGCUUAUUAGAAUGAUUAAGAAUCUAAAUAAUCUAUGUGUAUGCAUGAGAUGUAAUGUGAGAACCUAAUGAUAAUGGCUUGAGACAAGGCAAAGCAAUGUGAUGUAAAGAAUAAUGAUAGUGGCCAAAGACAAUGUAAUGUAAUGUGGCAUAAAGAACGUGUAAAGUUAAAGAAUGUGAAAGCUAAAGAUAGCUUAAAGUAAAGGAAUGUGAAAAACGUGAUUACUAGAGUUAGCAAAAGUAAAAGAAAUGUAAAGAACAAUGAUUGCUAGAGUGGCAACAUAAAGUGAUGUAAAGAACACUAGAGUUAGUAUAAAACCAUGAUCCAACUACAUAUCCUUAGAGUUAAGGAUUGAUCAUACUUGCUAUGAGCUCCGUGCUCGAGGGCGGUCGCUCCCCCUCGGGCGAUGCGCUCCGGAGUUUGGCAUCCGGGUUGGAGUAGACCUUUAAGGACGGUCCUAGCUGGUGAGUUCCUGCGAUGAUGGACUUAAUGUGAAGCAAGUUAAUGUGGCGAAACCCCCGGGUUAGCCGUGAGAUUAAAGAACAAAGAACAAAAGGGAUCAUGGAUUGGAAAGUGGAUCUUGUAUUCAUCAUGAAUUGACUCAAGACCGAGUCGAGUGGCAUAGUUGGCUAGGGUAAAGGUAACCCCGUGAAA
This 25903-nucleotide long non-coding RNA is filed under the name Ananas comosus (pineapple). Its description in RNAcentral is "long non-coding RNA (ACOM_LNC022363)". Lineage: Eukaryota; Viridiplantae; Streptophyta; Magnoliopsida; Poales; Bromeliaceae. The record is from RNAcentral.